UUAGGGCACGACACCGGAGAGGGAGCCUGAGAACGGCUACCACAUCCAAGGAUGGCAGCAGGCGCGCAAAUUACCCAAUCCCGACACGGGGAGGUAGUGACAAUAAAUAACAAUACGGGGUUCUUAUGGAUCUCGUAAUUGGAAUGAGUACAAUUUAAAUCUCUUAACGAGGAACAAUUGGAGGGCAAGUCUGGUGCCAGCAGCCGCGGUAAUUCCAGCUCCAAUAGCGUAUAUUAAAGUUGUUGCAGUUAAAAAGCUCGUAGUUGAAUUUCGGGGUCAGUAGGUUGGCCAUGCCACUGGUAUGUACUGGUCUCACUGAUUCCUCCUUCCUGAUGAACUGUAAUGCCAUUAAUUUGGUGUUGCAGGGAAUCUGGACUGUUACUUUGAAAAAAUUAGAGUGUUUAAAGCAGGCUAACGCCUGAAUACAUUAGCAUGGAAUAAUGAAAUAGGACGUUCGAUCCUAUUUUGUUGGUUUCUAGGAUUGACGUAAUGAUUAAUAGGGAUAGUUGGGGGCAUUAGUAUUCAAUUGUCAGAGGUGAAAUUCUUGGAUUUAUUGAAGACUAACUACUGCGAAAGCAUUUGCCAAGGAUGUUUUCAUUAAUCAAGAACGAAAGUUAGGGGGAUCGAAGACGAUCAGAUACCGUCGUANUCUUAACCAUAAACUAUGCCGACUARGGAKCGGAUGAUGUUAAUUUUUUAAUGACUCAUCGGCGCC
Molecule: ribosomal RNA, 715 nt
Filed under: uncultured Glomus
Lineage: Eukaryota; Fungi; Glomeromycota; Glomeromycetes; Glomerales; Glomeraceae
Description: SSU rRNA
Rfam family: Eukaryotic small subunit ribosomal RNA
Source: RNAcentral